CGGCAAUAUUCGUUCCCACCGGUUUUAUCAAUCCAUUGACUGGUUGGAGCUGGAGGCCGGCAGAUUAGAUCCCCCUUAGUAACUGCGGUAAUUACACUGACCAUUAAAACUGUGGCUAAGUAUAAGUCUGAUGAUUUAACAGACCGUGUUUGUAAAAAAAGAUAAGCAAGACAACAAAGGUCCUGAGGUAUAAUAUUAGAUGACAAAAAAAGUAAAUUAAUUGCCUAAACCAUUGUAAACUAGGUGCAAAAUGGUCUUAAACCAAACCAAGAACUAUUAGAUGUAUUUUCUUUCAUGUCUAUUUUAUUUGUGGUCAUUUAGACCGGAAUAUUACCACUAUACUGUAACAUGUUGCAACUGAUGGUUAGAUAGAAGACUUAGGUACAUUACAGGAAAUUUGUUUUUUUUUGUUUUUAAAAAAGACAAGCCAGUUACAGCAGCGUUGUAUCUUCUCCUGUAGCCACAGCUGGACUGUCCUUUACCAUCUGGGACACAGGAGAAUCCCCUGUCUUCAACAGAGGCCUUCAAGACACCUAUUGGCUCAGAAGAUCAAAAGUUUUUGAAGGGUUCUCAUUUGUC
This is a non-coding RNA of Pelobates cultripes (western spadefoot toad), 579 nucleotides long. Lineage: Eukaryota; Metazoa; Chordata; Amphibia; Anura; Pelobatidae. The record is from the annotation of a GenBank genome assembly.